UGGUACCAUAAUAUCUAAUUUUUUCCGUUGAAUGCUUUUAAUUUACAGAACGAAGAUAGUCCGACAUCGAGCAAAGGAUCGAGUCCAGACAUGGAAGAAUACGAAGUUAUAAAUAAAGAUGAAGAUACUGCUCACAAACUCAGAACACAGUGAGAAACUUCUGGUGGAGAACCUGUCGUUGAUAAAGUAAAGGCAGCUGAGUCAAGAAAAGUAUCGAGUCAAGCAGCCCAGCUUCACACAGAUGAAGAAGAUGCAUCAAAGAAAGACACAGAGCCUCAGAAAGAGGAAAAAGUGAAAGGAAAAGAAAGAAGCG
Non-coding RNA from Penaeus vannamei (Pacific white shrimp), 313 nucleotides. Lineage: Eukaryota; Metazoa; Arthropoda; Malacostraca; Decapoda; Penaeidae. The record is from RefSeq and is a predicted model, not a curated record.